This 504-nucleotide ribosomal RNA is filed under the name uncultured bacterium. RNAcentral's name for it is "partial 16S ribosomal RNA". It matches the Rfam family "Bacterial small subunit ribosomal RNA", at positions 30 to 523 of the family's 1533-position model. The record is from RNAcentral.
AUUGAACGCUGGCGGCAGGCCUAACACAUGCAAGUCGAACGGUAGCACAGAGAGCUUGCUCUCGGGUGACGAGUGGCGGACGGGUGAGUAAUGUCUGGGAAACUGCCUGAUGGAGGGGGAUAACUACUGGAAACGGUAGCUAAUACCGCAUAACGUCGCAAGACCAAAGAGGGGGACCUUCGGGCCUCUCACUAUCGGAUGAACCCAGAUGGGAUUAGCUAGUAGGCGGGGUAAUGGCCCACCUAGGCGACGAUCCCUAGCUGGUCUGAGAGGAUGACCAGCCACACUGGAACUGAGACACGGUCCAGACUCCUACGGGAGGCAGCAGUGGGGAAUAUUGCACAAUGGGCGCAAGCCUGAUGCAGCCAUGCCGCGUGUAUGAAGAAGGCCUUCGGGUUGUAAAGUACUUUCAGCGGGGAGGAAGGCGAUAAGGUUAAUAACCUUGUCGAUUGACGUUACCCGCAGAAGAAGCACUGGCUAACUCCGUGCCAGCAGCCGCCGUAA